GUACACUCCUACGGGAGGCAGCAGUGGGGAAUUUUGGACAAUGGGCGAAAGCCUGAUCCAGCAAUGCCGCGUGAGUGAAGAAGGCCUUCGGGUUGUAAAGCUCUUUUGUCAGGGAAGAAACGGUGAAAGCUAAUAUCUUUUGCUAAUGACGGUACCUGAAGAAUAAGCACCGGCUAACUACGUGCCAGCAGCCGCGGUAAUACGUAGGGUGCAAGCGUUAAUCGGAAUUACUGGGCGUAAAGCGUGCGCAGGCGGUUUUGUAAGUCUGAUGUGAAAUCCCCGGGCUCAACCUGGGAAUUGCAUUGGAGACUGCAAGGCUAGAAUCUGGCAGAGGGGGGUAGAAUUCCACGUGUAGCAGUGAAAUGCGUAGAUAUGUGGAGGAACACCGAUGGCGAAGGCAGCCCCCUGGGUCAAGAUUGACGCUCAUGCACGAAAGCGUGGGGAGCAAACAGGAUUAGAAACCCGUGUAGUCCC
RNAcentral lists this ribosomal RNA (474 nucleotides) under uncultured organism. RNAcentral's name for it is "partial 16S ribosomal RNA". It matches the Rfam family "Bacterial small subunit ribosomal RNA", at positions 331 to 797 of the family's 1533-position model. The record is from RNAcentral.